This 366-nucleotide long non-coding RNA is filed under the name Chinchilla lanigera (long-tailed chinchilla). Its description in RNAcentral is "lncRNA (ENSCLAG00000025506.1)". Lineage: Eukaryota; Metazoa; Chordata; Mammalia; Rodentia; Chinchillidae. The record is from RNAcentral.
UGAUCAGAAUCCUGUCUUGCCUCCAUUCUUCGUGUCUCUUGUCCCUUUAUAAUCCCCACUCCCCUUCUAGGGUCCUCGUUGACUAUACCCGCGGGUCGGGUCAAAGGAUAAUGUUGAGACAUUUUACAUGGCUGGGGAUUUAUCUCAGCGGCACAGCACCUGCCUGGCAAACACAAGGGUGGAGACAAUUGAUCAUGUCCUUGAAGAAGAGUUUGAUGAUAUAGGACAGAAGAGAUCACACGGAACUGGUAUGCAGAAAGUAGCUCCGGGCCCACAGCAGCCCCUUGAUACAUGUUUGGCCAUGAGUUAAUAAACUGGGCUCAGGAGAAUUAGGGGCCAACUGGGGGUGGCCCGUGGACUGAAAGG